RNAcentral lists this ribosomal RNA (253 nucleotides) under uncultured bacterium. Its description in RNAcentral is "partial 16S ribosomal RNA". It matches the Rfam family "Bacterial small subunit ribosomal RNA", at positions 524 to 776 of the family's 1533-position model. The record is from RNAcentral.
UACGGAGGGUGCAAGCGUUAUCCGGAUUCACUGGGUUUAAAGGGUGCGUAGGCGGAUAGGUAAGUCCGUGGUGAAAUCCUGCAGCUUAACUGCAGAACUGCUAUGGAUACUAUUUAUCUUGAAUGUCGUGGAGGUUAGCAGAAUAUGUCAUGUAGCGGUGAAAUGCUUAGAUAUGACAUAGAAUACCCAUUGCGAAGGCAGCUAACUACGCGAUAAUUGACGCUGAUGCACGAAAGCGUGGGGAUCAAACAGG